UACGUAGGGGGCGAGCGUUGUCCGGAGUUACCGGGCGUAAAGCGCUUGUAGGCGGUCCACCAAGUUUGGGGUGACAGUUGCCGACUUAAUCGGCAAAGUGCCUCAAAGACUGGCGGACUUGAGGGCCACAGAGGGACAUGGAACUCCAGGUGUAGUGGUGAAAUGCGUAGAUAUCUGGAAGAACACCAAAGGCGAAGGCAGUGUCCUGGGUGGUCGCUGACGCUGAGAGGCGAAAGCCAGGGGAGCGAACGGG
RNAcentral lists this ribosomal RNA (253 nucleotides) under uncultured bacterium. Its description in RNAcentral is "partial 16S ribosomal RNA". It matches the Rfam family "Bacterial small subunit ribosomal RNA", at positions 524 to 776 of the family's 1533-position model. The record is from RNAcentral.